GCCUGGGUAGCUGAGUCGGUUGAGCGUCUGACUUCAGCUCAGGUCAUGAUCUCGCAGUUCAUGGGUUUGAGCCCCGUAUCAGGCU
RNAcentral lists this transfer RNA (85 nucleotides) under Felis catus (domestic cat). It matches the Rfam family "tRNA". From Rfam's summary of the family: Transfer RNA (tRNA) molecules are approximately 80 nucleotides in length. Their secondary structure includes four short double-helical elements and three loops (D, anti-codon, and T loops). RNAcentral also lists the same sequence under 3 other names. The record is from Rfam by way of RNAcentral. Lineage: Eukaryota; Metazoa; Chordata; Mammalia; Carnivora; Felidae.